This is a small nucleolar RNA of Magnolia sinica, 107 nucleotides long. Lineage: Eukaryota; Viridiplantae; Streptophyta; Magnoliopsida; Magnoliales; Magnoliaceae. The record is from RefSeq and is a predicted model, not a curated record.
AAACCAUGUUGUAGGCAUGAACUAACAAGUUCCUUGAAUCACUCCUAACAUUGGAAGAAUGUUUCAUCACCCUUUUGGGCGAAGUUCAUGAUUGACUUUCUAAGGGU